This 127-nucleotide ribosomal RNA is filed under the name Escherichia coli. RNAcentral's name for it is "partial 16S ribosomal RNA". It matches the Rfam family "Bacterial small subunit ribosomal RNA", at positions 1 to 118 of the family's 1533-position model. The record is from RNAcentral. Lineage: Bacteria; Pseudomonadati; Pseudomonadota; Gammaproteobacteria; Enterobacterales; Enterobacteriaceae.
UUAAAUUGAAGAGUUUGAUCAUGGCUCAGAUUGAACGCUGGCGGCAGGCCUAACACAUGCAAGUCGAACGGUAACAGGAAACAGCUUGCUGUUUCGCUGACGAGUGGCGGACGGGUGAGUAAUGUCU